Molecule: ribosomal RNA, 678 nt
Filed under: uncultured delta proteobacterium
Lineage: Bacteria; Deltaproteobacteria
Description: SSU rRNA
Rfam family: Bacterial small subunit ribosomal RNA
Source: RNAcentral
CUAGUUGGUGGGGUAAUGGCCUACCAAGGCUAAGACGGGUAGCUGGUCUGAGAGGAUGAACAGCCACACUGGAACUGAGACACGGUCCAGACUCCUACGGGAGGCAGCAGUGGGGAAUCUUGCGCAAUGGGCGAAAGCCUGACGCAGCGACGCCGCGUGAGCGAUGAAGGCCUUCGGGUUGUAAAGCUCUGUGGGGAGGAAAGAAUAAGGGUUGGCUAAUAUCCAGCUCGAUGACGGUACCUCCUUAGCAAGCACCGGCUAACUCUGUGCCAGCAGCCGCGGUAAGACAGAGGGUGCAAACGUUGUUCGGAAUUACUGGGCGUAAAGCGCGUGUAGGCGGCCCUGCAAGUCGGAUGUGAAAUCCCACGGCUCAACCGUGGAAGUGCAUUCGAAACUGCAGGGCUAGAGUCCUGGAGAGGAAGGUGGAAUGCUUGGUGUAGAGGUGAAAUUCGUAGAUAUCAAGCGGAACACCGGUGGCGAAGGCGGCCUUCUGGACAGUGACUGACGCUGAGACGCGAAAGCGUGGGGAGCAAACAGGAUUAGAUACCCUGGUAGUCCACGCCGUAAACGAUGAGUGCUAGGUGUCACGGGCUUUGACCCUCGUGGUGCCGAAGCUAACGCGUUAAGCACUCCGCCUGGGGAGUACGGUCGCAAGACUAAAACUCAAAGGAAUUGACG